This 84-nucleotide transfer RNA is filed under the name Bacillota bacterium. RNAcentral's name for it is "tRNA-Leu". It matches the Rfam family "tRNA". Rfam says of the family: Transfer RNA (tRNA) molecules are approximately 80 nucleotides in length. Their secondary structure includes four short double-helical elements and three loops (D, anti-codon, and T loops). The record is from RNAcentral. RNAcentral also lists the same sequence under 4 other names. Lineage: Bacteria; Bacillati; Bacillota.
GCCGAAGUGGUGGAACUGGUAGACGCGCUGCGUUCAGGGCGCAGUGGGCGCAAGCCCGUGCGGGUUCGAGUCCCGCCUUCGGCA